Molecule: microRNA precursor, 77 nt
Filed under: Pelodiscus sinensis (Chinese soft-shelled turtle)
Lineage: Eukaryota; Metazoa; Chordata; Testudines; Trionychidae
Description: mir-17 microRNA precursor family
Rfam family: mir-17 microRNA precursor family
About the family: This family represents the microRNA (miRNA) precursor mir-17, family, which includes mir-20, mir-91, and mir-103. miRNAs are transcribed as ~70nt precursors (modelled here) and subsequently processed by the Dicer enzyme to give a ~22nt product.
Source: Rfam by way of RNAcentral
UCAGUUGUGCAAAAGUGCUUACAGUGCAGGUAGCAUUUUGGGAUCUACUGCAGUGGUAGCACUUCUAGCAUUACAAU